RNAcentral lists this ribosomal RNA (497 nucleotides) under uncultured bacterium. Its description in RNAcentral is "partial 16S ribosomal RNA". It matches the Rfam family "Bacterial small subunit ribosomal RNA", at positions 28 to 507 of the family's 1533-position model. The record is from RNAcentral.
GAUGAACGCUGGCGGCGUGCCUAAUACAUGCAAGUCGAGCGAACAGAUGAGGAGCUUGCGCCUCUGACGUUAGCGGCGGACGGGUGAGUAACACGUGGAUAACCUACCUAUCAGACUGGGAUAACUUCGGGAAACCGGCGCUAACACCGGAUAAUAUAUUGAACCGCAGGGUUCAAUAGUAAAAGACGGCUUUGCUGUCACUUAUCGAUGGAUCCGGGCGGCUUUGGCUAGUUGGUAGGGUAAAGGCUUUCCAAGGCGACGAUGCGUAGCCGACCUGAGGGGGGGGUCGGCCGCCCGGGAGCUGGGACACGGACCAGGCUCCUGCGGGAGGGCGCAGUAGGGAAUCGUCCGCAGUGGGCGAAAGCCUGACGGAGCAACGCCGCGUGAGUUGUGAAGGUCUUCGGAUCGUAAAACUCUGUUAUUAGGGAAGAACAAAUUUGUAAGUAACUAUGCACGUCUUGACGGUACCUAAUCAGAAAGCCACGGCUAACUACGUG